AUUGAACGCUGGCGGCAUGCCUAACACAUGCAAGUCGAACGGCAGCGCGGGGGCAACCCUGGCGGCGAGUGGCGGACGGGUGAGGAAUGCAUAGGAAUCUGCCCGGUUGUGGGGGAUAACGUAGGGAAACUUACGCUAAUACCGCAUACGACCUUCGGGUGAAAGUGGGGGACCUUCGGGCCUCACGCGAUCUGAUGAGCCUAUGCCCGAUUAGCUAGUUGGCGGGGUAAGAGCCCACCAAGGCGACGAUCGGUAGCUGUUCUGAGAGGAUGAUCAGCCACACUGGGAGUGAGACACGGCCGCGACUCCUGCGGGAGGCAGCAGUGGGGAAUAUUGGACAAUGGGGGCAAGCCUGAUACAGCAAUGCGGCGUGUGUGAAGAAGGCGUGCGGGUUGGAAAGCGCUGUUGUUCGGGGAGAAGUACGUGUGGUUAAUACGCGGACGGGAUGACGGUACCGAAAGAAUAAGCACCGGCUAACUUCGUG
RNAcentral lists this ribosomal RNA (484 nucleotides) under uncultured bacterium. RNAcentral describes it as "partial 16S ribosomal RNA". It matches the Rfam family "Bacterial small subunit ribosomal RNA", at positions 29 to 507 of the family's 1533-position model. The record is from RNAcentral.